Molecule: small nuclear RNA, 21 nt
Filed under: Arabidopsis thaliana (thale cress)
Lineage: Eukaryota; Viridiplantae; Streptophyta; Magnoliopsida; Brassicales; Brassicaceae
Description: snRNA_07526
Source: RNAcentral
UCGCUGCUUUAACUUUAGCGA